CACCGCACCAUGAGUGGAAAACUGCUCUCACAGAGUGAUAAGAACAAGCAAAGCAGGUUCCAGGCUGAAAAUGAUCCUUCACUGGACCAGCGGUCAUGGAAGAUGGAGUGAUGGAUAUCCUGACAGAAGCACAUGACAGCUUAACGGCCUAGAAGGGAGGCCAUUGACACCGGAGCAAAGCCAGAGUCCUCACAAAAGGGGGUAGCUGCUAAUCAUCGCUCACACUUCCUCUUCCACACUUCUGGAUCAGAAAGUGGCUCGAUUUGCAAAUUGGGGACAGAAGCUGCCAGCGAUGACGCCCCGCGCCCCUUUUCCCAAAUCGCACCAAGCUGUCUAGCAGGGACACUAAACGCCAGGAAUCACAGGCUCCUGGAUAUCAACAGCAACUGAUGCUAUUCAUUUAGUCCUUGCAGGUUAUUUAACCACCUCCUCCUUCCCGCCCAAGUUGUGUGUUACAUUACCAAUUAUGAACAGAAACGCCUACUGUUUACUGUGAAAUGAGUGAAAUUGCAUUCCCCCCUGCCCCCACGGGAAUUUCAGCAUGGCGUAGACCCCCUCCCUUCACGAAAUCCCACUCACAGAUAUCGGUUUUGCGUGGCUGUG
Brienomyrus brachyistius is the source of this 603-nucleotide long non-coding RNA. RefSeq lists it as uncharacterized. The record is from RefSeq and is a predicted model, not a curated record. NCBI's taxonomy places the organism in Eukaryota, Metazoa, Chordata, Actinopteri, Osteoglossiformes, Mormyridae. The transcript has 3 exons.